UGCGUAGGCGGUCGGGUAAGUCUGAUGUGAAAUCUUCAAGCUUAACUUGGAAACUGCAUCGGAUACUAUUCGGCUAGAGGAAUGGAGGGGAGACUGGAAUACUUGGUGUAGCAGUGAAAUGCGUAGAUAUCAAGUGGAACACCAGAGGCGAAGGCGAGUCUCUGGACAUUUCCUGACGCUGAGGCACGAAAGCCAGGGGAGCAAACG
This 207-nucleotide ribosomal RNA is filed under the name uncultured bacterium. RNAcentral describes it as "partial 16S ribosomal RNA". It matches the Rfam family "Bacterial small subunit ribosomal RNA", at positions 568 to 774 of the family's 1533-position model. The record is from RNAcentral.